GGUUAAGCGACUAAGCGUACACGGUGGAUGCCCUGGCAGUCAGAGGCGAUGAAGGACGUGCUAAUCUGCGAUAAGCGUCGGUAAGGUGAUAUGAACCGUUAUAACCGGCGAUUUCCGAAUGGGGAAACCCAGUGUGAUUCGUCACACUAUCAUUAACUGAAUCCAUAGGUUAAUGAGGCGAACCGGGGGAACUGAAACAUCUAAGUACCCCGAGGAAAAGAAAUCAACCGAGAUUCCCCCAGUAGCGGCGAGCGAACGGGGAGCAGCCCAGAGCCUGAAUCAGUGUGUGUGUUAGUGGAAGCGUCUGGAAAGGCGCGCGAUACAGGGUGACAGCCCCGUACACAAAAAUGCACAUGCUGUGAGCUCGAUGAGUAGGGCGGGACACGUGGUAUCCUGUCUGAAUAUGGGGGGACCAUCCUCCAAGGCUAAAUACUCCUGACUGACCGAUAGUGAACCAGUACCGUGAGGGAAAGGCGAAAAGAACCCCGGCGAGGGGAGUGAAAAAGAACCUGAAACCGUGUACGUACAAGCAGUGGGAGCACGCUUAGGCGUGUGACUGCGUACCUUUUGUAUAAUGGGUCAGCGACUUAUAUUCUGUAGCAAGGUUAACCGAAUAGGGGAGCCGAAGGGAAACCGAGUCUUAACUGGGCGUUAAGUUGCAGGGUAUAGACCCGAAACCCGGUGAUCUAGCCAUGGGCAGGUUGAAGGUUGGGUAACACUAACUGGAGGACCGAACCGACUAAUGUUGAAAAAUUAGCGGAUGACUUGUGGCUGGGGGUGAAAGGCCAAUCAAACCGGGAGAUAGCUGGUUCUCCCCGAAAGCU
RNAcentral lists this ribosomal RNA (824 nucleotides) under Escherichia coli. Its description in RNAcentral is "bacterial LSU rRNA". It matches the Rfam family "Bacterial large subunit ribosomal RNA", at positions 1 to 867 of the family's 2925-position model. Lineage: Bacteria; Pseudomonadati; Pseudomonadota; Gammaproteobacteria; Enterobacterales; Enterobacteriaceae. RNAcentral also lists the same sequence under 1 other name. The record is from RNAcentral.